UGCUCAGGAUGAACGCUAGCGGGAGGCCUAACACAUGCAAGCCGAGCGGUAGAGAUCUUUCGGGAUCUUGAGAGCGGCGUACGGGUGCGGAACACGUGUGCAACCUGCCUUUAUCUGGGGGAUAGCCUUUCGAAAGGAAGAUUAAUACCCCAUAAUAUAUCGAGUGGCAUCAUUUGAUAUUGAAAACUCCGGUGGAUAGAGAUGGGCACGCGCAAGAUUAGAUAGUUGGUGAGGUAACGGCUCACCAAGUCUGCGAUCUUUAGGGGGCCUGAGAGGGUGAUCCCCCACACUGGUACUGAGACACGGACCAGACUCCUACGGGAGGCAGCAGUGAGGAAUAUUGGACAAUGGGUGAGAGCCUGAUCCAGCCAUCCCGCGUGAAGGACGACGGCCCUAUGGGUUGUAAACUUCUUUUGUAUAGGGAUAAACCUACUCUCGUGAGAGUAGCUGAAGGUAC
This 457-nucleotide ribosomal RNA is filed under the name Chryseobacterium sp. LPA5. RNAcentral describes it as "bacterial SSU rRNA". It matches the Rfam family "Bacterial small subunit ribosomal RNA", at positions 21 to 478 of the family's 1533-position model. Lineage: Bacteria; Pseudomonadati; Bacteroidota; Flavobacteriia; Flavobacteriales; Weeksellaceae. The record is from RNAcentral.